CGGGCUCCUGAGUCAGGUGCCCCUAUAGGAGUUCCCGUGUGAGCAGUGGGGCCGUGGGGCAGGGGGGUGAACUGUGCAGACCCCACCCCAUCUAAGGAGAGCGCUGCCUCUCAGCUCCAGAUGCCUGUCGUCACAAGGAGCACAAGCCCAGUCUCAUGGCAUCUUCUGAUUUUUCAAGAGAAGCAAGAUAGCAGGAUUUAUUCACUUUUACUGAAAACAGGCUUUUCAAAUCGAACAAAACAAGUCUGUGAAUCAGAUGCGGCUCUUUGGCCUCUGGUUCGAGCCUUCUGCCAGAGCCCUCCUGGCUCUCUGCUUUGCCAAAUUAGGGCAACGAUUAAUUCAUAUUUUACUAGUCCACUCACGUUCUGUCUUAGCGUCCCUGCUAAUGGUAGUGAUCAUUUUGUUCUGUGUUAGGUAUCUUUGGAUGUGAAUUAGCUCAAGAGAUGGGGGCUUAUUUUAAAGGUAACAUCGAGGAAUAAAGGUGGCAGAGGCUCCUGGAAAUCCAAGGCAGGAGCUGCGACAGCCGAUGUUUCUAGCAGGAGGCACAGCCCCAGGGCACUUCGGGGGACCUCGGCAGUCAGGCUCUGCCAUCGACAAGGUGACGUCACCUCCGUGGGUCUGUGCUGUCUCCAUGCAGUAGCCACCGAACUAGAAAGCUGGACAAAAUAUAUGAAACAACCGGAUUUGGACAUCAGGACCACAGGCUGCGCAGGACUGUGAUCCCUAAGAGACAGGAAACAGAUGAAGCGAGGUGUCCAGUCCACUCGGUUUUCUUCCUGGAGGCAGCGUUCCUACCACCGCAGGGAGGGGAGAGCGGACAGCGCGUGGCCGUCUGCAGAAGUGAGGAGGCGGAGGCUGGGCCCUGGGGAUGCUGCCGGCAGAGCAGCAGAGAGGAGAUCCAAAUGUCUCAUCAGGUCCCCUGGAGCGGUCACUGAGCCGGAAUCUACGCACGCACAGGGGGAAACUCCAUGAGGCGGGCGGAGAAUGGAACUGUUGUUCCGAAGGUCUUUUAAAACUCCUUGUGCAAUAGUUUGAUGCACAGAAAGAUACAGAAGCACAUCACUAGUCUGAGGGGAAAAAAUGGAUGCCAAAGCUGCUGGUCACAUGUGAAGCCAGCCUCCACGGAACUCGCUUGGUACGACCUCUCAUUCACCUUGAGAGAAUCAGGGGAGAAGCUAUAAUUCCUUCACUGCCAAAUAUGUGAGCUAACAGGAGUCCUGCGUGUCACUAGGCUCUGGGCAUGGCCUGUCCAUUGUUUUGUGCCUGUUGUGCCGUCCUUCAGCGAGGGAGCGUUCCUGCCGUGGGAGCUCUUGGAAUGAAUGCAGGAAGCCCAGCUCACAGCAGGUGCUCGGCCAGCGACGCUCGUCACCUUCAUUGCUCUUUUCUGAGCAGCAGUCACCCAUUCUCUCCGAUGCCUCUGCUGCCAGAAGAUUCCAUGUGCCACAGUGAAGGCUCCUGUCUCAGGAGGGCAGUGACCGGACUCCCAGGGCCACGUGGAGGGAGCCUCUCAGAGGGGAGGUGCCUUUCAGUGAUUUGAUGCCUCCUGGAACCUAGACAUGAAGGAAGGAGCUGGAGCAGCCAUCUUGGGCUGUUGAAACUGCGUUGUAAGGAUGGCAGAGCAACAACAUGGAAGGAGUCUGGGUCCCACGUGCACUGGAGCAGAUGCCCGGACCUGUGUCUGAAGGAGAGAUCUCUGUCUUGCUUCUGCUGCUGUGUUUGGGGUCUCUGUUGCAGCAGCACAGCCCGCACCUUCACUCGUCACAGCCAAUACUCGCCCUCGUCCGAGGCUUCCUCCUGGCCCCACCCUAAGGCAAUUGUGACUUGCAAAUCUUCACUAUGACUUUAUUUUCAAAGUUUACUUGAUUAGACUCAUUUGAUGAGAGAUGACAGUUGAGGUUCCCAAGACUCUCCCUUUUUAAAAUAUUCCCUCAUUAUUAUUCCCUCCCUUUCUCCUCUUUCCCUCUGCCCUCUUCGUUUCUUGGCUUCUCUUUCUGAGAGCCGGGGGCCGAUGUCAGGGUCUGAUGAUUUCCUGGCCCUGCACGAGCUUGAGGUUGCCAGCUGUUCCCACUCUCCUUCUGCUUUCUUCUCCUCGCUCCCCUCCCCUCUCCCGACAUCCCAGGCCUCACCAAAAGGAAGCAAGAAAGCUUAAGAGAAAGGCGGGGGGUGUACCAGAAAGUCGCUCCUGGCCUCCGGCCCCUGAUGUGCUUCAUUCUUUGCUGAAAAAGCUGGUGGGGGGCUGGAAUCCAGCGAGGGAACCAGAAAUCCCAGGGUCUUGCCUUUCUUUUAUUUUGUGCACUUUUUUUCCCUGUUUUUUUCCAACAUUAUAGGCCUUCGGGUCUGCUAUGUUUUCUUUCACUUUUUAGCAUUUCGGCUCCAGGCUUGGUUUAAUCGAAUCCACUUUUAAGUUCAAUGAGUGCUCCUGAUUGUAAACGUGUCUUCCGCCUUUAUUCCCAUCUUAGGGACAUUUCUGGGAAUUGAAAUAGUUUCCUGCUAAAUGAUGCUUGUCCCUGGUUCCAGGAACAGGUGAGAAGCGAGGGCAGCAGGAGGAAGGGAAAGAUGUGCGGCCGCGCCCCCAGGUUCAUCACGUCAGAGUCCCGGAUGGCCCUUGCCACUGUGGCUCAUCCUCUCCUCGUUUCACGGCUGCACCAUUUUACGGGUAAUACUUCCCUCAGCCUCAGGCCCCACCAGAGAGCUGGUACUUCCUCUUCUUGGAACAAACAGCUCAGCAAGCUCCUGAGAAGUCUCUGGCUGCCAAUUUACAAUGUCAGUUUCUGCAGACAAGAGGCCUCCCUCCCACAGCUGGAAGUGGACACUGGCCUCUCUGGCCAAGUGGGGGCCCUUCACCUGGGCCAGCAGCUAACGAGGAGGGAGGAGCGGAUGGAGGCAGAGGGGGGAUCUCUGUAGACACCUCCGUGGCUGGGGGUGAAGUUUUGGGGCCGAGAGAGCCCUGCACAGCAGGUGGGCUCUGGAUAGUGGCCGGGCUGGGUGAGGGUUCUGUCAUAAGUCAGGUCCGGGGUCUGGUGGGGCAGCAGGAGCCUGCUUUGGGCCACAGGACUUGGGAGAUGUCUAGAGGGUUUUGAAAGGCCACAUGCCUUCCUGGACAGGAGUGGGCAGUCCCAUUGUCUGGGGAGUUGUUGACGGUAUUUGGACAGUGGGGCAAAUGCCAGCUUUAAUGGGUCUCAGGCCCUCAGGGCCCACCCCUGUGGGGAAUGGAAGAGUGGACACUGUCCAGGGCUCCCCACCGGUCCCAGAGGCCCAAGAGGUAUCAUGGUCAGCACAGGUGACCCUAAAACGUCUGCAGAGCCCUGAGACCAAACCCUGGGAAGUGUGGACACAAGGACCGAAAGCUCCCACUGGUGGGACUUCCAAGAAAUGGGUGAAGGGAGGCAUGAAGGAGUGAAUGCUGCAGCUGCUCCAUCAGCUGCUCCGGAACCUGGGCUCCGGAGGGCAGUGCCCACCCUCAUAGGGGCGUGCGGGGGAGGCAGUGGACUUGAGCCUGCCCAGCGAAGGUGCUUCAUCAGUGACCCUCUCCAGACCAGGCCACAGAGGGGUAUGUCCCUGCACCAGGGAGACAGGGAGGCCCACAUGGGGGUCAGUCGGCUCCUUGUUGGUGAAGGACCCCCUACACUCUGGAGCAGCCAGCGGGACCACAGACCAGGCUUGCCCCAGUCUCCCCUCCUCCCAACCAGAGGUAGGAGCGCUGGCAUUUCAGCUGGAAAUCAAAGGGUGGGAUUGCUUGAGCUGGUGAUGGCGGGGUCCAGAGGCCUGGGGGGUGAUGUCAAGGACGACCCCUUCUCAGCGUAAAGAGGCAGAUGGCAAAGGCAGGAUCUCUGCCCCCAGUCACGAAAGCCCCCUUCCUCCCACAGCCGCUCGGUGUUAAGCCUUGUUUUGGUCCUGGAAACAGCGCUUAUCUUGGUCUCUCUCCAUCUCUGUCAGCAUCUCUUCAGUGCCUCCCGAGUGUUGGCACAGCUGGCAGGAUGGCCGUGGGGAGGAAGGGGACCCCUCUCAGCCCAGCUGGGAGCCCGUUACUUCUCACUCACGAUGUUGUGUGUGUUUUAGAAUCAGCAGAGACCAAGGAGAAGGAAGGGAAAGGAAAACCAGCCCUAUGCGAGUGUGUGGGAGAAAGGUCCACGUCGUUGGGGCAAGAGCCUUGUGACUGCAGAGGGACACCCCCUGGCGCCCCUCCCGCCACCGGCCUGGACGAGGUGGAGGGCGGGGUCUCUGUGGUCAGCACAGCUCUCUGCUCUGAGCCUCUGCUGAAGGACACAGGGGGCUGCUGACUGUUAAAGGAUCGUCGCUACGGGUCAAUGCCAGGUGGUUCUGGCUUCUUUGGGACAGGAUGCUGAGACCUGGAGAGUGGGCCAGGAACCCCUGAGCCCUGGAGGGAGGCAGGGCCUGGGAGGGGGGCUUGGAGGCCGGGACCAGGGUCCUUGGAGGCUGUGGGGGGCGUGGGGGAAGUUUGCUCUCACCUGGACGUGAUGGAAACUAGGAGAACCUCCCAGGGCCCCGCUGUUGACUGCCAUCCUCCCAGGAGUGGUUUUGUCCUGUUAUUUGCCUGGGCCUGCCCUGCCUCUCCCUCUGGGUUCCAGCCCACGUCCUGGGGCUCCCGGCCAUUGAGUCAGCAGUGGGGCUGAUGGUUCCCAGGUCACCCUCAUCAAUAAGGGGGCUGUCCCCUUGGGAAUGGGGGAGGAGAGCAGGCCAGGACCUGGAGGGGAGGGAUGAGCCCUGUGGGGAGCAGGGAGGAGGAAGAGAUGCAAGCCAGGGGCUGGGUGGGGGCUGAGGAGUGGGCACUGAGCUAGCACUGGCCACACGGGGUCUGGGUGGGGGGCAUCGGGGAGAAGCCAGCAGGUGGGGCCUCGAGCCGUGAUGAGUCAGCCCCGUUUUCUGAAUGGUGCAGCAUUGGCGCGAGUCACAGCAGCCAGACCCCAGGAACAGAACCCCAAGAGCCACUCUGCUCCCCGAUGCUCCCUGUGGGGUCUGUCUGGGUCAGGGUCAUGACCUGAAAGCUGAGGGGCAGAGGCAACUGUCCUCAGAAACAAGAUGGCUCGUCCCCUGCUGGCUGCGGCAGGUGAUCCCCCUUCCCCGCGAGCACUGGCCUCUCGGUCUCCCUGCCCCGAGGCCAGCAGCCCCCUUCAUGCUCAGGAGACAGCCAGGGAGGCUGGGGACCAGCUCUUGGAGGCUAGUUUAGGGAUAAAGGCCGUCCACAGGCUUGGAACCCCAGGGCUCUGACCACUCCCUGCCCUGUCCCCAAGUGCUCUAACCGCAUCAGAAAACACCCCCAACAGCCUCUGAGGGGUUGCUGUGCACUCGAAACAUGAGCGGUGCUCGCUCCCUGGUGGCUGGUCAGCGCUGGCACACGGUUUGAGAAGGCAUGGCCUGGUGGGCCAGAGGCUGUGUUCCAGGUCCUUGUGGCGCCCCUGCCUCCAACAGUGCGGGUGCACGUGUUCGUGCAGAGCCUUCCCAGAAAGCGCGCAUGCUGGGUGUGGGGCAUCCGGGAGAAGGGAGAGGACAGCAGAGAGCUGGUGGUGAGGUCGGGCUCCUGUGGCACCCUCCCCAGUGUGGGCGGGGGGCAGCCGGGUGUUUUCCCACCACGGAGGCCUCGCCGACUGGUGAGGGCUAGGGACGCAGCUUUCCCGAGGGUCAGGGCAGUGCUGGUCUCCAGGACCCCGUCCUGCAGCUCACUUUGAAAUCAGCCCAGGGGGAUGCAGCCUGAAAAGCCACUCCAUGUCCGUUUGAGGACAGCCGCCGUCUGGGCCUGAAGGAUCACAGUGUGAAGUCAUGGGUUGGAAAAGGGCAAUUUUCCUCCUAUUCUCUGAAGUUGCGCUCUUCAUGCAGAGAUUUCCUGGGAACCCCAUUAAGUUUCCCUCUCAGGCAGAUGGCCUUGUAAUUACCCCCAGAUGGGUGGCCACUUGACCUUCCUGGGGUGGUCCCCGGCAGAGACAGGCAGCUAAGUCCUCCCUGGCUUGCCGGAACCCACCCUCUGCCCCCCUGGCCGUCACCACCUUCCAGACAGAAGCCCCUGACGCCCGGCUGGCAUUCACCCUGGGCAGCUGGGUGCAACCUGUUUGGAAUUUGUGAUGGACUGAAGGAUGCUUCUCUCUUUCUGCCUGUGGAAAAGGGGGCGCAAAGCGGAGAAACGUGGAAGAAAAAAUCCCAGGGGGUCUGUCUGCCUGAGUUAGGGCUGAGCUUCAGUCCAUCUCUGGAUAGGGCUCCUGGGAGCCCGUGACCGUGCUGUAAUUAAGGAGGCAGCCUCGGGGGUGUGGGUCUUGAGUGCCCCUGAGGCUGUCUCAGAACAACGGCCGCAAACACCCAGGACCCAACAACAACCAGAAAGGGUUAUUCCAACAAUUUUAGUUUUAAAAACGACACCCACACCUCUUCCACUUGACCCAGAUCCUGCUUUUCUCUGCAGCCUCGUGCGGUACCCACGGCUGCCUUCACGGUGCGGGAGCACGAGCCCUCCCUUCUCUCCUUUCUUGUGCUGGCUCUGGUUUUUCUAGAGGUUCUGUCGUAUUGGCUGCAUGGUGACAGACCCUACCUGCUGUGCCCUGAUCACCCCCGGGGCUGCUCCCACUGUCCCCUGCAGCCUGUGCUGCCUGUGCACCGUCCCGCUCAUCACCCUGUGACUCUUUGGGGCUAUUUCCUUGGAAUGAAUUCCCAGGAUUGCCAAGGGCCUGCUCCGUCUUCUGGCUCCCUCAGGACACCGUCUGAGAAACGGGGACCUGGGCACAACAGGGACGGGAAGGCGCACGUUCUCCCAAGGCCCAGCCAGUGUGCAUUUGACGACUUCCUCCUUUUGUUAAAUUCAAAGGUGUGCGAGGAUGUUCCCUUCACUGUCACAUUUUCUCACCAGAAAGUGGAGCGUUUUCCAGAAAGCUGGAGCAUCCGGAACCCACACUUUAUAAAGUUAUGUCCACUCCGCUGUGCGGUCAAUCGAGAAGCAGGGGAGCGUGGCUUUUCCUGCCCUUCUCCAUAAAUGUGCAAUUCCCUGGCUACAAAGACCCGUCCUGUGGCAUCACGUGGUAGGAAGAUAAUUGGAGCUAACGUGGUGGAGAGGGUUGAAGCCCUCUCAUUGUCAGGAAAUGACUUGCUCUGACGUGCAUGGGCUCCGUCAUCCCUGUCGAUGGGCCCAUCCUCCGUGGGGUCUUUUACGUCCUUUGGUGACGGAAACAAACCCUUUGGGAUGGAGUCUGACAGGGCCUCUCAGAGGUGAUGCCUCCCUUUUAUGAGUCUCCAGUUUACGCAAAAUAAAAGAUCCAAAUCAGGGCUUCAGAAAUUGUGGCACUCACUGUUUGUAUUUGAUGAAUUGACGUUUAG
Molecule: long non-coding RNA, 7317 nt
Organism: Equus caballus (horse)
Lineage: Eukaryota; Metazoa; Chordata; Mammalia; Perissodactyla; Equidae
Source: RefSeq, a predicted model, not a curated record